UACGGAGGGAGCUAGCGUUGUUCGGAAUUACUGGGCGUAAAGCGCGCGUAGGCGGCUUUGUAGGUUAGGGGGGAAAGCCCGGAGCUCAACUCCGGAACUGCCUUUAAAACUGCAUCGCUUGAAUCCAGGAGAGGUGAGUGGAAUUCCGAGUGUAGAGGUGAAAUUCGUAGAUAUUCGGAAGAACACCAGUGGCGAAGGCGGCUCACUGGACUGGUAUUGACGCUGAGGUGCGAAAGCGUGGGGAGCAAACAGG
Molecule: ribosomal RNA, 253 nt
Filed under: uncultured bacterium
Lineage: Bacteria
Description: partial 16S ribosomal RNA
Rfam family: Bacterial small subunit ribosomal RNA
Source: RNAcentral